RNAcentral lists this ribosomal RNA (450 nucleotides) under Pomatias rivularis. Its description in RNAcentral is "partial 16S ribosomal RNA". It matches the Rfam family "Bacterial large subunit ribosomal RNA", at positions 1857 to 2565 of the family's 2925-position model. The record is from RNAcentral. Lineage: Eukaryota; Metazoa; Mollusca; Gastropoda; Littorinimorpha; Pomatiidae.
GCCUGCCCGGUGAUUUUGUGUUAAACGGCCGCGGUAUUCUGACCGUGCGAAGGUAGCAUAAUCAUUUGCUUUAUAAUUGAAGGCUUGUAUGAAGGGUUUGACGAGAGCAAUGCUGUCUUAAUUGGAUUUUUUAGAAUUUAACUUUCAAGUGAAGAGGCUUGGAUUUGAUUAAUAGACAAGAAGACCCUAUCGAGCUUAAAAGAACUGGUGGGUGGAGUAGUGUGUUUAUAUAACUGAAAUUUGCUGGGGUAUUUUAGUUGGGGCGACUGAGGAACAUGAGUAGCUUCUUUAGAAAUUAUGGGGUUAUUACUGAGGAUCCAAUAUUAGGUUAUUGAUGUUAGAUUUAGUUACCGUAGGGAUAACAGCAUAAUCUUUUUUGAGAGUUCUUAUCGAAAGAAGGGUUUGUGACCUCGAUGUUGGAUUAAAAUUACCUAGGGGCGUAGAAGUUUU